UCGAGGAUCUUUCGCAAUGAGCGAAAGCUUGACGAAGCGACGCUGUGUGAGGGAUGAAGGCCUUCGGGUUGUAAACCUCUUUCGCUUGGGGACAAGAGAGCCUAGUGAAUAGCUAGGUGAUUUGAGGGUACCAGGUAAAGAAGUACUGGCUAACUACGUGCCAGCAGCUGCGGUAAUACGUAGGGUACAAGCAUUAAUCGGAAUGAUUGGGCGUAAAGGGCGCGUAGGCGGUUUAGUAAGUCAGAUGUGAAAUUCCAGAACUCAAUUUUGGAGCUGCAUAUGAAACUACUAGACUAAAGAGGGAAGACGGAGAAAGCGGAACUCCACGUGUAGCGGUGAAAUGCGUAGAUAUGUGGAAGAACACCUGUGGCGAAAGCGGCUUUCUAGUUUUAACCUGACGCUGAGGCGCGAGAGCAAGGGGAGCAAACAGGAUUAGAUACCCCCGUAGUCC
RNAcentral lists this ribosomal RNA (451 nucleotides) under uncultured bacterium. Its description in RNAcentral is "bacterial SSU rRNA". It matches the Rfam family "Bacterial small subunit ribosomal RNA", at positions 355 to 796 of the family's 1533-position model. The record is from RNAcentral.